Molecule: microRNA precursor, 145 nt
Organism: Gossypium arboreum
Lineage: Eukaryota; Viridiplantae; Streptophyta; Magnoliopsida; Malvales; Malvaceae
Rfam family: MIR7502 microRNA precursor family
Source: Rfam
UGUUAAAAAUUUCAUCCCUUUAUACUGUUAAAAACUGAUGUUGCUGACAGAACAAGAAGACAAUGAUGCUUGGCAUGCCACGUGUACCUCAUAUUGACGUACAAAGACCAAUUUUUAAUAGUAGAAUUGGAUAAAAUUUUUAAAA